This 70-nucleotide transfer RNA is filed under the name Blaberus sp. B013. RNAcentral describes it as "tRNA-Val". Lineage: Eukaryota; Metazoa; Arthropoda; Insecta; Blattodea; Blaberidae. The record is from RNAcentral.
CAAAUUGUAUACUUUUAGAAGUAAAUUCAUUUACAUUGAGUUUAAUAUCGUGCAAUUCGAUGCGGUUUGA